GACGAACGCUGGCGGCGUGCUUAACACAUGCAAGUCGAACGGAAAGGCCCUGCUUUUGUGGGGUGCUCGAGUGGCGAACGGGUGAGUAACACGUGAGUAACCUGCCCUUGACUUUGGGAUAACUUCAGGAAACUGGGGCUAAUACCGGAUAGGAGCUCCUGCUGCAUGGUGGGGGUUGGAAAGUUUCGGCGGUUGGGGAUGGACUCGCGGCUUAUCAGCUUGUUGGUGGGGUAGUGGCUUACCAAGGCUUUGACGGGUAGCCGGCCUGAGAGGGUGACCGGCAACAUUGGGACUGAGAUAAGGCCCAGACUCCUACGGGAGGCAGAAGUGGGGAGUAUUGCACAAUGGGCGGAAGCCUGAUGCAGCAACGCCGCGUGCGGGAUGACGGCCUUCGGGUUGUAAACCGCUUUCGCCUGUGACGAAGCGUGAGUGACGGUAAUGGGUAAAGAAGCACCGGCUAACUACGUG
RNAcentral lists this ribosomal RNA (468 nucleotides) under uncultured bacterium. Its description in RNAcentral is "partial 16S ribosomal RNA". It matches the Rfam family "Bacterial small subunit ribosomal RNA", at positions 28 to 507 of the family's 1533-position model. The record is from RNAcentral.